Molecule: long non-coding RNA, 514 nt
Organism: Macaca mulatta (Rhesus monkey)
Lineage: Eukaryota; Metazoa; Chordata; Mammalia; Primates; Cercopithecidae
Source: RefSeq, a predicted model, not a curated record
GUGCGGGUCCGUGGCUUCAUUCUUGAAGUCAGUGAGACCAAGAACCCACCAAUUCUGGACACAAUAUCUUUGUGGAGCUGGGUUUGGAAUUUGAGGAGGUGAGAAACACCCUCCUCUCACCCUGGCGUAUAUAGAUCUGGUGGAGAAGAAUGCUGAUUGCACAGGCAGUGAGGACUAGAAAGCUGAGCUGUAGCACCAAGCAGACAAAUAGCGAAGCUAUUCCUAAUGUGGCACUGCCAUUCCUUAGCCCAUUCCAGACAGAGCAGAAAAGAGAAAAGAAGAAAUAAAGCAAAAGAAACAAGAGGGAGUAAAAGAAGCUCCCAUGGUUUUUCUCUGAGAAUUUCACUGGGGAUCUAAUUUUAAAGACGUGAAGAUUGAAGAAAGAAUACAUAAUUUCAACCAUUUUGUUAAAUGAAAUUUGUUGGCUCUAUAAAAACGCUUCUGUUUUGGUGAUGUCCUCCAGUUUUCCCUGGUUUUCCUCAUGAAGAAUAAUAAUUCUGUUCUGUCCUCUCCA